RNAcentral lists this non-coding RNA (30 nucleotides) under Rattus norvegicus (Norway rat). The record is from RNAcentral. Lineage: Eukaryota; Metazoa; Chordata; Mammalia; Rodentia; Muridae.
UAUGGUGGGUGAGUAGCUUGCCUUGCUUGU